AGAAUCAACGCUGGCGGCGUGCCUAACACAUGCAAGUCGCACGAGAAAGGGGCUUCGGCUCUGAGUAAAGUGGCGCACGGGUGAGUAACACGUGACUAAUCUACCCUCGAGUGGGGAAUAACCUAGAGAAAUCUGGGCUAAUACCGCAUAACACUUACGAGUCAAAGCAGCAAUGCGCUUGGGGAGGAGGUCGCGGCCGAUUAGCUAGUUGGCGGGUAAUGGCCCACCAAGGCGAUGAUCGGUA
RNAcentral lists this ribosomal RNA (244 nucleotides) under uncultured bacterium. RNAcentral's name for it is "partial small subunit ribosomal RNA". It matches the Rfam family "Bacterial small subunit ribosomal RNA", at positions 26 to 285 of the family's 1533-position model. The record is from RNAcentral.